GGUCUCCUGGUGCUUACCACAGGCUACGUUCUUACACUGACUGUAUAGGAGGAGGCAGAGUAAACCUCCCCAACUUGCACCCCGGCCCUGUGCCUGGUCUGUAUUGUGAAUGGGGGGACGUGG
Molecule: small nucleolar RNA, 123 nt
Filed under: Prolemur simus (greater bamboo lemur)
Lineage: Eukaryota; Metazoa; Chordata; Mammalia; Primates; Lemuridae
Description: Small nucleolar RNA SNORA51 (ENSPSMG00000021346.1)
Rfam family: Small nucleolar RNA SNORA51
About the family: ACA51 is a member of the H/ACA class of snoRNA that guide the sites of modification of uridines to pseudouridines.
Source: Rfam by way of RNAcentral